GUGCCCGUCUUCUCUGCGAUGGUUUUGGGGUGGAACAGGAGUGGCUCCUCAGGGGGAAAUGAAAGGAACUGAGGAGCUCCAGUCGUGAGAAGGCCAAUGAAGCAGGCACCGCCAGUUGGGAAAUGGACCUCCCUGGAUGCUAGCUGCAUUGUUUUCUCCAGCCCGGCUCCUGCUCGGGCCUGAUGUGCACCCUAGAUGGUGGCCAUAGGCGGGGCAUCCUGUGCUGCUCUCCAUCUCCAUCCAGUCCGUCUCCACCCAAAACAGCUCAGUUCCCCAGAGAAGCUCCCUGGAAACCAGGAGGCUGGCUUCUUCACCAACUGUAGAACCACCUGAGGCCACCUGGCAGAAUGCAAACCAGGACUGCACGUGGCAUUCCGCUGCCCUGUCUCAGUGGGAUCCUUCCAUCCAGAACGGCUCCUCCAUCUUUCUCCUCCUUUUAUAAUUUUGACAGUUUUGAAGCAUCCAGGCUAUUUUUGUCUUUCAUAACCUUGACACUCUUGAAGAGUACUGGCCAAUUAUUUUGUAGAAUGUCCUCCAGCUUGAAUUUGUCUAGUGCUUUCUCACAAUGAGAAUGAGGUUUUGUGUUUUUGGUGAGAACACCACAGAAGCAGGUUAUACCCUUCCCCAUGCAUUAUAUCAGGAGGCACAUGUGAUAUGGCUGCAUCCUAUUACUGGAGAUGUUAACUUUGAGAGAUGAUGUGGCAAAGAUUUAUCUACUGUAAAAUCCUAUUUUUCCUUUUGAACUUAAUGAGUAUCUUCUGAGGAGCUAUCUUGGAGUCUAUGUAAAUAUCUCGUUUAUCAUCAUACUUUCACCCACCGAUUUUGGCGUUCAUUGGUGAUUCUUGUCUGCAAUAUUUAUUACCACUGUGUUUACCAACAGGUGAUUUUUCUACUUUCAUAAUUCCUUCUCCAUUUAUUAAUUGUAAUUCAGUGGUAAGGAAGAGCUGUCCCUUCUCUCCCAAUUACUUAUGCAAUUAUUUCAGUAUAGACUCAUGGAUAUUUAGUUUAUUCUACCAGUGAUAAUCCAUGAUCAACAUCAUUUGUAUCAUUGUUCCAAUUGUCCCAGGUACGGCCAAUGUGAGCAUCUUCAAGUCACCCCUUGUGUUUGUUUGAAAUGCCCUUAUUCUAUUUUGAGCACUUCCUUUCUGAUAUAAGAUGUUCCAGGAUUAUUUUAUAAUUUCACUGACCCCGCCCUGUACUUAAUCAUUUCUCCAAAGAACUCUGCUUCCUUUUUUGAGGGAACGUAUUUAGAAACUAAGAUCUGGGUGCUGGAUGUCCUCAUUGUUACUGGGGUGUCACUGUGUCUAGUGCCUCUCAGCAGACAGAACUAGGGAAUAUGGGUUACUAACUCUGAAACUAUUUUAUGGGUAUUCUGAGAUUGAGCAAAUAAGUAAAUAUAUUGUAUUAGUGGGAGGUAGGCAUCUCCCUGUCAAAGAAAGAACUACAAAUAAAAAGAGAAGGGCAAAGUGAAACCUGUUGUGUUAGAUUAGAAUCAGAGACAUCAGCAUGAGCUCCUCAUUUUUAAUGUAUAUACAGAUUGACAGAUAUAGAAAUAAAUAUGACCUGGCAAUUCCAUUCCUAGGCAUAUACCUAGCAGAAAUCCAUGGUCAUAAAAAAAAAAAAAAAAAAAAAAAAAAAAAAAAAAAAAAAAAAAACCAUGGACAAGAAUGAUCAAGCUGGGCGUGGUGGCUCACGCCUGUAAUCCCAACACUUUGGGAGGCUAAGGCAAGCAGAUUGCUUGAGUCCAGGAGUUUGAGACCAGCCUGGGCAACAUGGCGAAACCCUGUCUCCACUAAAAAUACAAAAAUUAGCUGGGUGUGGUGGUGCGUGCCUGUAGUUCCAGCUACUUGGGAGGCUGAGGUAGGAGGAUGGCUUGAGCCUGGGAGUCAGAGACUGAAGGGAGCCAAGAUUGUACCACUGCACUCCAGCCCGGAGAACAGAGUGAGACCCUGAAGAAAGAAAGAGAGAAAGAGAGAGAGAGAGAGAAAAGAAAGAAGAAAGGAAGAAAGAAAGAAAGAAAGAAAGAGAAAGAGAAAGAAGAAAGAAAGAAAGAAGGAAAGAAAGAAAGAGAAAGAGGAAGAAAAAAAAGAAUGAUCAUAGGAUCAUAGCUGCACUAUUAUAAUAGUCCUAAGCUGUAAACUAUUCAAUUUCCCAUUGACACCAGACUAAAGAAUGAAUGACUGACCACUAUAUGCAACAUUAUGGAUGAAAAUACAAUUGAAGAAAGACAUUUUCUCAAAAAAUGCUGUGUAAUACCAUUUAUAUAAAGCACAAACCAAGCAAAAUUAAUCCAUGUCACAAGAACUCAGUAUCAAUUUUCUGCAAGAGAAACGAGGGAGUUUCUGAGCUGCUGGUAAUGUUCUGUCAUUUGGUCUGGGUGCUGGUUUCGUGGGUGUGUUUGAUUCUUAAAAUGUGUAUACGUUAUUCAUCAGUAAAAAGUUUUUAAAAAUAUUCAU
This 2456-nucleotide long non-coding RNA is filed under the name Pongo abelii (Sumatran orangutan). RNAcentral's name for it is "lincRNA". Lineage: Eukaryota; Metazoa; Chordata; Mammalia; Primates; Hominidae. The record is from RNAcentral.